AUUGAACGCUGGCGGCAGGCUUAACACAUGCAAGUCGAGCGAGCGGCGGACGGGUGAGUAAUGUCUGGGAAACUGCCUGAUGGAGGGGGAUAACUACUGGAAACGGUAGCUAAUACCGCAUACCAUCAGAUGUGCCCAGAUGGGAUUAGCUAGUAGGUGGGGUAAUGGCUCACCUAGGCGACGAUCCCUAGCUGGUCUGAGAGGAUGACCAGCCACACGGUAACUGAGACACGGUCCAGACUCCUACGGGAGGCAGAAGUGGGGAAUAUUGCACAAUGGGCGAAAGCCGGAUAAAGCCAUGCCGCGUGUGGGAAGAAGGAGUUCGGGUUGUAAAGCACUUUCAGCGAGGAGGCGGGACUCACAGAAGAAGCACAGACUAACUCCGUGCCAGCAGCCGCGGUAAUUC
This 406-nucleotide ribosomal RNA is filed under the name uncultured bacterium. Its description in RNAcentral is "partial 16S ribosomal RNA". It matches the Rfam family "Bacterial small subunit ribosomal RNA", at positions 30 to 526 of the family's 1533-position model. The record is from RNAcentral.